UCGCUGUCUUACAAAAAGAAGUUUAGCUCCCGCAAUCCACCGCUGAUGAGUGAUGAGACCUGAGCAAAAGCCCAGAUUUGAAAAUGCCUGGAUUUGGGGAGUGAGGCAGAACUGUGUGCAGCAAGAGCCAGAAUCAGCCCUGGAUCACAGCAAGCCACAGCCACACGCCAGAUCCAUCAUGUAAAGGUGCUGCUGUCAUGAGGUCCCGUGCACUUUGUCAUCC
RNAcentral lists this long non-coding RNA (223 nucleotides) under Gallus gallus (chicken). The record is from RNAcentral. Lineage: Eukaryota; Metazoa; Chordata; Aves; Galliformes; Phasianidae.